UACGAAGGGGGCUAGCGUUGCUCGGAAUCACUGGGCGUAAAGCGCACGUAGGCGGAUUGCUAAGUCAGGGGUGAAAUCCUGGAGCUCAACUCCAGAACUGCCUUUGAUACUGGCGACCUUGAGUCCGGGAGAGGUGAGUGGAACUGCGAGUGUAGAGGUGAAAUUCGUAGAUAUUCGCAAGAACACCAGUGGCGAAGGCGGCUCACUGGCCCGGUACUGACGCUGAUGCACGAAAGCUAGGGGAGCAAACAGG
RNAcentral lists this ribosomal RNA (253 nucleotides) under uncultured bacterium. RNAcentral's name for it is "partial 16S ribosomal RNA". It matches the Rfam family "Bacterial small subunit ribosomal RNA", at positions 524 to 776 of the family's 1533-position model. The record is from RNAcentral.